GCCAGUUGCGAUGAUGAUAUUUGUGUUUUCCCAGCUCACUACGAGGCCUUUCGCAAGGUCUGGGAGUAUAACUUCUCACAUCUAUCUGAGCUUUCC
This is a small nucleolar RNA of Neltuma alba, 96 nucleotides long. NCBI's taxonomy places the organism in Eukaryota, Viridiplantae, Streptophyta, Magnoliopsida, Fabales, Fabaceae. The record is from RefSeq and is a predicted model, not a curated record.